This 475-nucleotide ribosomal RNA is filed under the name Vibrio parahaemolyticus. RNAcentral's name for it is "partial 23S ribosomal RNA". It matches the Rfam family "Bacterial large subunit ribosomal RNA", at positions 533 to 1005 of the family's 2925-position model. The record is from RNAcentral. Lineage: Bacteria; Pseudomonadati; Pseudomonadota; Gammaproteobacteria; Vibrionales; Vibrionaceae.
GGGGAGUGAAAUAGAACCUGAAACCGUGUACGUACAAGCAGUGGGAGCCUUGAUUUAUCAGGGUGACUGCGUACCUUUUGUAUAAUGGGUCAGCGACUUAUAUUCUGUAGCAAGGUUAACCGUAUAGGGGAGCCGUAGGGAAACCGAGUCUUAACUGGGCGAAUGAGUUGCAGGGUAUAGACCCGAAACCCGGUGAUCUAGCCAUGGGCAGGUUGAAGGUUGGGUAACACUAACUGGAGGACCGAACCGACUAAUGUUGAAAAAUUAGCGGAUGACUUGUGGCUGGGGGUGAAAGGCCAAUCAAACCGGGAGAUAGCUGGUUCUCCCCGAAAGCUAUUUAGGUAGCGCCUCGUGAACUCAUCUUCGGGGGUAGAGCACUGUUUCGACUAGGGGGUCAUCCCGACUUACCAACUCGAUGCAAACUACGAAUACCGAAGAAUGUUAUCACGGGAGACACACGGCGGGUGCUAACGUU